UGUCAGCAGCCGCGGUAAUACGUAGGUGGCAAGCGUUAUCCGGAAUUAUUGGGCGUAAAGCGCGCGUAGGCGGUUUUUUAAGUCUGAUGUGAAAGCCCACGGCUCAACCGUGGAGGGUCAUUGGAAACUGGAAAACUUGAGUGCAGAAGAGGAAAGUGGGAUUCCAUGUGUAGCGGUGAAAUGCGCAGAUAUCAGGAAGAACACCGGUGGCGAAGGCGGGACCCUGGGCCGGUACUGACGCUGAGGAGCGAAAGCGUGGGGAGCAAACAGGAUUAGAAACCCGAGUAGUCC
Molecule: ribosomal RNA, 291 nt
Filed under: uncultured Bacilli bacterium
Lineage: Bacteria; Bacillati; Bacillota; Bacilli
Description: partial 16S ribosomal RNA
Rfam family: Bacterial small subunit ribosomal RNA
Source: RNAcentral